Molecule: long non-coding RNA, 5821 nt
Filed under: Brassica napus (rape)
Lineage: Eukaryota; Viridiplantae; Streptophyta; Magnoliopsida; Brassicales; Brassicaceae
Description: long non-coding RNA (BNAP_LNC013796)
Source: RNAcentral
AUUGCUGUGGGUUUUAGCCGCAAUGGUGUUUGCAAUGGCCGAAGGGGCUCGUGGACAGCGCGUGCCUUGCUAUUUCGUUUUCGGAGACUCAGUUUUCGACAACGGUAACAACAAUGACUUGAACACCUCCGCUAAAGUUAACUAUUCACCUUAUGGUAUGGAUUUAGCUAGAGGUCCCACGGGCCGAUUCAGCAAUGGCCGUAAUAUUCCCGACUUUAUCGGUUAGUCCCUGGCUUGUUUUAUUUCUUUGCCCAAAUGUUUUCGAUGAAAUUACUAAUAGAUACUAUUAACUAGAAAAGACAAACGUAUCAUAACGUAUUCUUUGCCUAACUGGAAGUUUAGAAUGUAGGCAUUUCUCUUUUAGCUGAUAUUUUCAAUGGAACAUAAAAAGAAAUGCAAACAUUAGAACUAGAUAUAUAGUGUUAUGCAGACCAGUCACAGAUGCAAAUUAAGAGACUAUUUAAGUAGAUAAAUAAAUUUUUGCUUAUCACACGUCCACAUAGGUGGUUUAGAGUUUCUCAAAAUAUAUAAAUAAAUAAAAGGGAAGUAAAAGGAUGAGAGGUAAAAGGAUGAGAGGUGAGAAAAUCUCUCCAUUGAGAGACUAUAUCACACAAAACGAUCUCUCCGUGAGAGACUAUAUAUAACACUUCUGGAAAAAAACCAUUUGCUUAGUUUUUAGACAGUCAAUGUUUAAAAAUCUAUAAACAUCACUUUUUGUUUUGUUUAGAAACUCUGCUGAGUCUCUGGCGAUAAAUAUCAUUGAUUAAUAGCAACUCCAAUAUUGGAGAUACUUACUUGAGGAUCUGAACAAAUAUCAUUACUUUUGAAUAUGCUUAGUUUUAAUUUUAGACAAAACUAAUGAUUUAAGAGGGUGACAAGUGUCUCUAUGGUUUUUUAAGAUCAUCUCCAACCCACUGUAAUAUUUAUCUUUAUAAUAAUAUUUAGGGAUAAAAUUACUCUAAAUCAUCUUUAUUUUUUUUUUAAAUAGAAACUGUUAUUUUUUCUAUUUAUAAAGGAAGAAAUAGUCUUUUGUAUAUUUUAUUUUAUAUUUGGAGAUUGUUAUUUAAAAAUACAUAGAGCAUAUUUCAUCUUUAUUACAAAGUUUUUUUUAUUUUAGAGAUAAAGAUAGCAAAAUACAUUAAAGAUAGUUUAAAAGAUUCUUGUGACCUCUCAAAUGACAGAGAGGGUCUCAAAAUUUCUUACCUCUCAUACUUUUUGAGUUUAUAUUGUUUUAUUGUUUACAUAUCUUAUCUAAUUACUGACGAUGGGCAUGGCCUAAUGAUGCCCUAAUGUAUAUAAGAAUCAAUUUCCCAAAAGGAAAAAACAAAUUUUGUGAAGGGUUUCUUGUGAAUCUGUACCUUUUUUAAAAGUUUAUUGUGUUUAUCAUUCAUAAGUAUUGUAUAUGGUUUCUUGUCUAAUAUGCGUUUGAAUUAUGUUGUUUUUAGCUGAACUAAUGAGAUUCAGUGAUUACAUUCCACCUUUCACCGGAGCAUCGCCGGAACAAGCUCACACCGGUUUAAAUUACGCUUCUGGCGGCGCGGGAAUUCUCGAAGAUACUAGCUACCAUCUGGUAAGAACAUACUUUAGAAGCAAAAGAGAUCAAAAUAAAGAUAUUUCUUUAUUUUUCCUCGGGUAUUUCAUUUUUACUAAUACUAAUAUAUGGUUAAGUAACUUUCCUAAACGUACUACUAUAUUUAGUAAUACUGAUUCAAAAAACGCGCAGUGAUCAUUUGUUCUCAUUUGGUAGCUCGAAUGUUUGGUUAAUAUGAAACUAAUUAGUAAAUUGAGAUUUUGUAACUGAAAGUUUGAGGUUUCAAACCUAACUUAGAAAAAGACAAUUUAAAAUGUUGUGAUUCCCUGUCCAAUGAAUAUACACAAAUAAUUUUGUAAAUGUUUUAGGUGACUAUAAAUAAUUUUUUUAUUUUAUUUCUUUUAAAGCAAAUAAUCAUUUGGUUCGAUUGAUUUGCUUUUUCUUUUCUUUUUUCUGGCAGGGAUCCUAAAUAUGACUCGCUUAUUUGACAUUUUUUUGUGUUUAAACACUUAAAUUAAUUACUUACGCAUUAUGAUAUUUCUUACGAUAGGGUGAUAGAAUCAGUUUUAGAACGCAAAUCAAGAACCACCGGACGGCGAUUAUGACUGCAAAAGUGCCCCCGGAGAAGCUGAAGCAAUGUCUAUACACUAUUAAUAUAGGAAGCAAUGAUUAUCUUAACAACUACUUCAUGCAGGGUGAUAAGUACAAUACACAACGCAAGUACACUUACGAUCAAUUUGCUGAUUCCCUCAUUCGACAUUAUCGCUCUUUUCUGAAGGUAAUAUACCCAAGGUUUUGAAAAGAAAAUUAAUAAAGGAAUCAUAAACCUUCAUAUUUCAUUGAAAUAACUUUGACAUUAUAAAUAGUUGAUUAAUUUCCAUAUAAAACAUCAUGCAGAGUAUUGGAUAUAUCUCUAUAAAUUUUACUCCUAUUUAAUUAUCUAUCUUUAAACAGAUUAAUUUAGAGACAUUUUUUUGUAUAAGUUGUUGUAUGUCCAAGGAGCAAGGAAGGUGGCUCUGUUUGGGGUCAGUAAGAUAGGGUGCACCCCGCGGAUGAUUUCCUCCCAUGGUGGUGGUAUGGGCUGUGCCGCUGAAGUGAACAAAGCAGUUGAACCUUUCAACAUGAACCUUAAAGCUCUGGUCAGAGAGUUCAACACUAACUUCGCCGAUGCUAAGUUCACUUUUGUCGAUAUGUACACCGGGCAAACUCCAUUUGCGUAUGCUGCCUUAGGUAAGUAAUACUAAAUAUAUUGAACUGAAAUUUUUGACCCAAGAUGAAAUCAUUUUACCGGAUAAAAAACAUAUAGUAUAAUACUAAAAUACACUGUUUUCAUUAAGGUGUUCUAAGGAAUACCAGAGUUAAGUUUCCCAAAAUACACAAGGAAAACUUUUGGAAAGGUUUAUGAUCAACUCCUUCCUAAUGGCUUUACUAAUCCAGUUGUAUGAUCAGCUAUUAAGCUUUUUGAAGAUGAUUCCUAAAUACAUAAAAAAACUUCAUUAACUUUUCAUAAUCGUGUUCCUAGAAUACUUGAUAUCUUAAAAUCAAAUAUUUUCUAUCGUUUUCAUUUUCUUCUGAAAUAUAAAUUUAAAUCUUCAUUUUGUCACAACUCUAAAAGAUUUGAUCAGUUGGAUCAUUUAUUUUCCAUAGUAGUACAAUUGCAGUAUAAUCACGAUAAAAUUUAUAAUAUUAGAUUGUGAUCCUAUAAUUUGAUUUGAUCAUGCAUAUACUUUUAACAAAAAAGUAAAAAUAAUUAUGCGUAUUUUUACAUUCUUGUAGGGUUUGCUGUAACACAAAAGAGUUGUUGUACGGUAGAAUCAGGGGAAGAACUAUGUGCUGCGGAUAAACCGGUUUGUGCGUUUCGAGACCGGUACGUGUACUGGGACAAUGUCCACAGCACUGAGAGGGCCAACAUGUUUGUGGCAAAGGCUGCUUUUGCCGGAAUCGUUGCUUUUCCUUACAGCAUUGCCUUGCUUGGAAUAGUGUAGGGAUAAUAUACUCGAAACCAUUCAUUUUCUUUUGUUGGAUAUUUUAUAUAUAUGAUCUUUGUUAUUAAUCUAAUUGUUUUACUGAGCAAGGAAACUUUGUUUCAUUAAUUUCAACCGGUGAUUUUUUUUGCACCAAAUUCUUAUAUUAAAAAUUAACCACACAACAGGCUUAUAAGGUUACAACGGUAGGUAACCUGGACUACUAAACGAUAAAAAGAAACUACUCAAUUUUUGUUUACCAAUAUGGAUCAUUUAUUUUGGAGAGUGUCCUCCGAAAUGGAGGAUCAUUAAUUUGCUUGGAUUCUCUGGUAUAUAUGGAAAGGUAGAAACAAUAAAGUUUUUAGCAAUUUGGAUAUGGAUCCCAGAGAUACUCUCAAAUUGGCAGAAACGGAAUCGUUACUUUGGGCGGAAGCACAAAACUCUCAGACUCAGAGUACGGACCGCACCCAAGUUCCAGUACCUUUGGCAAUACCGAGUAUACCAGGUAGAUGGUGUUUUACGGACGGAUCUUGGAAAACAGAGGAUAAAUAUUCAGGGCAAUUAGGAUGGUACAGUACCCUGACAACUAUAUGGAAGUAGUUUAAUGGUGAAUAGACUUUGAGAAGAUAAAUGAUCUGGAUUCGAAUCAAUUUCACCUCAUUAAAUUUAGGUGGGUUUAUUCUUGUGGACUACAUCUCCUAUUACAAAACUAAUGUGAUUUUUUUUCAUAUAUCUAAGAUAUCUCGUAAGUUAUUCCAUUUUUUUGUCAAAUGCUCAUAUUUAGCAGAUUCAAUCUCGGUUCAGUUCAGCGGUGGCACAUGCAUUUGUGUGUGUUUUUACUAAUGCAUGUGUGCGGUUGUUUCCUUUUCCUUUUUCGGACAACCACGUGGUGUAGUUUUAUAUAAUGAUUUCUCAUUGAUUCUCUAUAGUUGCCUAAAUCUAUUGAACUUUGUUGUGAGUUUACAUUUUCACUUGGCCAAUACAUCAUUUAAAAUUUUCUCAUAAAUUAAUUUGAUAACCCAUUUUUCUAAAGUCAUUCAAUUUUUAUAAAACUCAUUUGACUUUGAAAACUGUUCCAGCAAUAAACUCUCUAUUACAACAAAAAUUAAGCAACAACUCCAACUUAUAAUUUUCAUUCUUCAGCUGAGAUGACUAUGUCUUCACGUCUUAUUAUCAAAGGUUUGUAGUUGUUUCUAACAGUCUUAAUUAUAUCUGUUAUCGUUUUGUUUUUUUUUUUGUUUUUUGUUUUUUGUUUUUUGUUUUUUGUUUUUUGCAUAUAGGAAAAACAAUUUUAACCAAAAAUCCCUAGUUUAUGGUAUCCAUGAUAAGUGUGUGAACUUUAACCAAAGAAACAAACGACAGCAAGUUGUAGAAGUUAUCAUAUUAACUAACAUUGUCAAACGGCCAAAGCGUCGAGAGUCGAGACUUUGCAAACUAAUUUUUAUUGUUCGGUUAAAAUGUGAUCUAUUUCGUUACAAAAAUUGUGUUCUAUUUAUACAAUUAAAUGUAAUAAAUUAAUAGUUAUAUGAGAUUUUACAAUUUUGUAUUAUUUAUAUUGUAUUUGAAGUGAAUUUAAAUUAUAAAUAAGCAUAAAAUUGAAACAAAAUAUGAGUUCAAGUCUCUAAUUAUUAAUUACCCAGCUACAUUAAGCUUUUGUUUUCAUAGUUUUUUUUAUUUUUAUGGGGUCAAACUAUAAAAUUUGGUGGGGUCAUAAUAUUUUUUAUGAAAGAAAAACUUAUAUUUUAUAAAUUAGGUGGGGUCAGCUGACCCCCUCCAACAUCUAUACUUAUCAGUCUUGAAUUGAAACAAAAUUACUAAAUACUCUUCAAAAACACCAUAGAGGUUUUUCUUGACAAAAUGACUUGUAUUUUUCUCAUUACAACUCACGUGCAAGUUGACUAUUAAAGAUACUUUAAAAAUAAAUUAAUUAACAUCCGUAAUUAACUGACUAUCUCUUCUAUUGGAUAGACUAGAAAUAGAAUUUUAAUUCUGUCUGUCUCCUCCUAUGUAUGGGUUAUAUAUAUAGACUUUUCUCUUUUCUUCAAUGUUGCCACAUUUCAGAUUUCUAGUAAUUGGUUUUCAGAAAUGGCGGAGGGAAUGUUCAAGGUAUUGCUGUGGGUUUUAGCCGCAAUGGUGUUUGCAAUGGCCGAAGGGGCUCGUGGACAGCGCGUGCCUUGCUAUUUCGUUUUCGGAGACUCAGUUUUCGACAACGGUAACAACAAUGACUUGAACACCUCCGCUAAAGUUAACUAUUCACCUUAUGGUAUGGAUUUAGCUAGAGGUCCCACGGGCCGAUUCAGCAAUGGCCGUAAUAUUCCCGACUUUA